Molecule: long non-coding RNA, 1680 nt
Filed under: Capsicum annuum
Lineage: Eukaryota; Viridiplantae; Streptophyta; Magnoliopsida; Solanales; Solanaceae
Description: long non-coding RNA (CANN_LNC009776)
Source: RNAcentral
GCAAAUCCUGGCCUUCAAAGCAAUACACUCGUCAGUGGUAUGGCCAGAUUGAUUCAGAAAAUAACCAAAUCCUUCCAUUUGAUCGGGCUAGAGGACCUCAUAUCUCUUAGGAUUUUAUAAAGCCGAGCAUGUCACGAUCUGGGGGUACCAAAAAUAUCUUCUGAAGCGAGAUCUGAGGGUGAUUUUUUCACUUCCCGACCUAAUCCUAGUUGGCCAGACGACAUCCCCUUUAAUCUUAGCCCAACAGUCCUCUCUUAAGUUUGAAGGUGGGGCUUGCUCAAACUUCUUCUUUUCCUGCGUGAUCAACUGCUUGACUUCGGCAAUUUCCUUGUCGGCCUAAUCGGCCCUCCUAAUCAGUCUCUUGAUCUUUUUUUUUUUUUGCAUUUCCUCCAUUUGGGCUAACUCUACUAUCCCUCUUUCAGUUGUGUGGUACUUAAAUCCAUGACAAAUCUUCCUAAAAGAAUAUGAAUACAUUUAAAAAGAAAGUUAACGAAAAUGAUUGAGGACUUUCUGAGAGACUUGGGGACCUGGAGCAUUUUGGGCGAACUUUAGAUAAUAAGCACAUAUUUUUUCCUAAAGGGUUUCUAAUACUUUGUUAAAGAGUAGAUCAAUUUACCUUUGAUUUAACAAUGCAUAUAAUCACAUAAACAGUUAUAUCACACAAGACAGUUAUAUCAGACAACAAUAGAAUAAUAAACAGUUUGUCCUAAUUGGGUGAUCCUUUUGAGCCAAGGGUUGGCCUAGCAAAUUUGAAGGAAAUAUAUGCUUUUUAAACCAAUCAAUUAACCCCCCAAAUCUCCAUAGAUAUAUAGAAAGCCAUGAGUGUUUGCAAAAUAUGCAUAAAAGGAUACAAUUUUUACGGAAAGGGGAAAUGACAUAAAAAAGGAACAAAGUCCCGCGCAAGGGAUGGAAAAUUAACUCCAAGAUGAUCUUUCGUCGUCCUCGCCUUCUUAGAUUUAUCCACAUCUUCCCAUAUGUGAUAUCUUUUGAUGGUCAGGCGGCUCCCACAUAAUUGUACUUUGUUCUUGUAGGUCAUCUUCCCUAUGCUAUCAAUUUGAGAAGCCAUGUGAUCAUCCAAAUCAAGCAAACACUGUCUUGCAUCAUCAACCUCUUGCCUAGUUCGCUUUAACUCUUCUCUCAAUUGGUGUAUAGUUGAGGCAACCUCUAUCUGCAUCUAUUGGAGCAUCAUUUCACCUCUUCAGAAUUUGUCCUGAAGCUUGUGGAACCGGAUCUGAUGUUCUGACUCUACAUCAACAAUCUGUGUGGGUACAUUUGGACCCAGAACCAAUGUUCUGGCAAUAUUCUCUUUCAACUACUCUUUGUAGGUAUCACUAACCUCCGGUUCAUACCCAAUACAAAAGAAAACUUCCUUCAUCUUUCUUCUCCUCCACCCAUCUACCAUGUACUGUUUGAGUGGAGUUUCACCUUUGUGUGGUACUUAAAUCCAUGACAAAUCUUCCUAAAAGAAUAUGAAUACAUUUAAAAAGAAAGUUAACGAAAAUGAUUGAGGACUUUCUGAGAGACUUGGGGACCUGGAGCAUUUUGGGCGAACUUUAGAUAAUAAGCACAUAUUUUUUCCUAAAGGGUUUCUAAUACUUUGUUAAAGAGUAGAUCAAUUUACCUUUGAUUUAACAAUGCAUAUAAUCACAUAAACAGUUAUAUCACACAAGACAGUUAUAU